This 72-nucleotide transfer RNA is filed under the name Diaphorina citri (Asian citrus psyllid). It matches the Rfam family "tRNA". From Rfam's summary of the family: Transfer RNA (tRNA) molecules are approximately 80 nucleotides in length. Their secondary structure includes four short double-helical elements and three loops (D, anti-codon, and T loops). Further hydrogen bonds mediate the characteristic L-shaped molecular structure. tRNAs have two regions of fundamental functional importance: the anti-codon, which is responsible for specific mRNA codon recognition, and the 3' end, to which the tRNAs corresponding amino acid is attached (by aminoacyl-tRNA synthetases). tRNAs cope with the degeneracy of the genetic code in two manners: having more than one tRNA (with a specific anti-codon) for a particular amino acid; and 'wobble' base-pairing, i.e. permitting non-standard base-pairing at the 3rd anti-codon position. The record is from Rfam by way of RNAcentral. Lineage: Eukaryota; Metazoa; Arthropoda; Insecta; Hemiptera; Psyllidae.
GCUCCCAUGGCGUAGUGGUCACUGCGCUCGCCUUGCACGUGAGAGACCCGGGUUCGAUUUCCGUCGGGAUCA